Molecule: ribosomal RNA, 490 nt
Filed under: uncultured bacterium
Lineage: Bacteria
Description: partial 16S ribosomal RNA
Rfam family: Bacterial small subunit ribosomal RNA
Source: RNAcentral
AUUGAACGCUGGCGGCAGGCCUAACACAUGCAAGUCGAACGGUAACAGGAAGACGCUUGCUUCGUUGCUGACGAGUGGCGGACGGGUGAGGAAUGUCUGGGAAACUGCCUGAUGGAGGGGGAUAACUACUGGAAACGGUAGCUAAUACCGCAUAACGUCGCAAGACCAAAAAGGGGGACCUUCGGGCCUCUUGCCAUCGGAUGUGCGCAGAUGGGAUUAGCUAGUAGGUGGGGUAACGGCUCACCUAGGCGACGAUCCCUAGCUGGUCUGAGAGGAUGACCAGCCACACCGGAACGGAGACACGGUCCAGACUCCUACGGGAGGCAGCAGUGGGGAAUAUUGCACAAUGGGCGCAAGCCUGAUGCAGCCAUGCCGCGUGUAUGAAGAAGGCCUUCGGGUUGUAAAGUACUUUCAGCGGGGAGGAAGGGAGUAAAGUUAAUACCUUGGCUCAUUGACGUUACCCGCAGAAGAAGCACCGGCUAACUACGUG